Molecule: long non-coding RNA, 659 nt
Filed under: Bemisia tabaci
Lineage: Eukaryota; Metazoa; Arthropoda; Insecta; Hemiptera; Aleyrodidae
Description: lncRNA ENSSSA1NGG004064
Source: RNAcentral
GUGGUCAGGAAUGAUAUACCACUCGCAAUCGUGGUAACAAGAUUGGCCCUGCUAACCCUCUCUUACGUGGUAGAGGUAGAGGGAACAAGGGACAAACAAGGCAGGGCAACAAGGGAACAAGCUAAACAAGGAAGAUCCACCCAAAAGCUUCUGAGUGCUUUUAACAAUCUGCUGAUUGCCAAAAACCACGUUAAAAAGCCGGUUACAUCGACUCCCAGCUCAAAUUUGGACGAAGCAAUGAUUCUGUAACACAAUGCUAAUAUGAAUAACGUCUCCAAGGUAAGAAAUUCAUGGAAAUUUCAUUGUAUUUUGAAUUUAAUUCGUCGAUCCAUCUACAAAGGCUCUGCAUAGGCUUCCUGCUUGUGCGCACCACUGCCACAAAAUUCCUAUCUUGAUUUCCUUUUGUCGUUCACAAUGAUAUUAUUAAUUACUCCUAAUACAAUCUCUUUUAACAGUCCAUAACGUAUUUCUCUCGUAGUUCAUUUAUUUAGGCACAAACCACCGGGGAAAUCCCACACCUCAAAACAAACCAGCGUCAAUGAUAAGUGUAAAAAUUUGCAAGAACGUGCCAACUUACUCUCGCCUUCGCGAAAUCUUUCACGAGGUGGCGAGGGUUUGAUAGAAUAGAUAUGUAGGAUAAAUAAAUUCUGUGAUAUCAU